CACCAUCACAAAUUACCAGUAUUAGUCGCCUAGCUAGCUAACUUUUUAUUUAAAAAAAACAUGAAGAGAUUUUCCCUUAUUGUUUUGUGCGUGGUGACUCUAGUGGUGGUGUUGUUUUCAGGUUCAGAGGCAGUGCCAGCGCCAAAAUGUGAUAACCCCUUGGAGUACAGCUCAUGCUUGAACGCGUAUAAGAAGCCACCUCCAUCAGCCAGUUGUUGCCAGAAGAUGAAGGAACAAGCAUCAUGCUAUUGCGAGUACAUGAAGAUAGAAGAUGUCAAACGUGUUUUUGACAGAGUUGAGAUUGCGAAAAUGGCUAAAUUGUGUGGAGUUUCAUAUUCUUCCACCUGCUAGAAUCCCGUUUGGUUUCAUAUGACUAUCUCUGGCUGGGAUAAUGUGGUAUCUCAAUAAAUGAAAAUUUUAUUUGAAAACUAAUUUUCUCAUAAUUUCGACUAUAAUAUACUUGUGUUCUUUUUUUUUUUUUUUGGAAUGAUACUGGUGAUUUUCUAUUAUUUACCUUUAUUGUCCUGAUUCAUGUUACAUAUGUGCUAAAAGAACUACACAAUGAUCUAGAUUUUGAUUGAACCGUACUGGAUUGGUUGGAUUGGAAACUGGUCUAGAUACUAGUAUAAUUACAGGGGUUAGAUUGGUUGACCCAUGAACCAAUAGGGACUAGUUGAAUCGAUUUUCUCUAUUUCUUAAAAAUAUUUUUAUAUUUAUUUGAAUUUUUAAAUAAUUUAUUUAAUAAAACUAGACGAGUUGGUCGAAAUGAAAAAUAGUUAUUUGACUGAUUCGACCAUCAGUCCAAUUCUGAAAACAGUGUUAUAGUUAAAAAAAAAAGAAAUGGGUAGGGUAGAUCAAAUUAUUAAAUUAUAAACAUAUAUGUUAUUCGAAUAUUUAUUUGGGUAAAGUACACUAGUAGUCACUCAACUAUUAGUAAAUUUCUCUUUUGCGCACUGAAUUAUGAAAAAUUACAAAAUGAUCACUCAAUUAUUCAAUUUUCUCUUUUUUGAUCUCUUGUUAGCUAAUGAUGGUAGCUAGACUUGUUAAUUGGCCGAGUUACCUUCCCAAGCAAGUAACAACCCAUUUUUCGGUGGUGUCAGAAACAAUGGUUUCAGAACCACAAAUCCGAUAAGUAAGUCUAUAUAUUUAUUAUUUAAUAUUUAUGAGUCAGUUUCAAUAUUAUAUUGAAUUCGUGAUUAAUAAUUUUUAUAAAUUGAACGAAUAGAUAAGUAAAAGUGGUUCAAUCCCAAGUCAAGUGGUUAUUGAAAAUGAGACGUUGGGACCUCAUUUCCAUAAUUUAAGAUCGUAAAUAUUUUUAUUAAAUAUAUAUGGAGUCUUAUUAUAGGUGAAUUUAAGUUUGGUUCGGUAAUUUUGACUUUCCACUGACCUUUGGGAUAUUUAUUCAUUAGGUCCUAAUUAGUUUAAGGUUAAAUUGAAAUAAAGUUGUUUGAUUUGAUUUAAUAUAAUUGAAGGACCAAUUGUGUAAUUGGACUUUUCUUAAAUGGUCAAACGGUAGGAAGGAUAUGAAAUUCUCUAGUUUUGUGAUUAAUUGCUAUUAGAUUCUUAUCAUUUAGUAAUGUAUUAAAAAAGACUAAAUCGUAAAGAAUGAAAAAGUUUAGUUUUAUUAAUUGGAAAGGUAAAUUAAAUGGACCUAGAUGGUAAUUAUGCCAUAUAUAUAUGUGAUGGACAAUUAUGAACAUGUGUUAGAGAUAUUAUAAGUGUAAUUUAAAGGUUAAUUUUGUAAAUAAGUAAAUAGGUUAAUGAAAAAUAAAAGAUAACAAAAUUUAAAAAGCUAUCAUCUUCUUUAUCCAUUCAAGAAAACCGAAAACACCAUUUUUAGAGGAGAAACAAGUUCGUCCAACUAGGGUUCUUCCAUUUAAGAGCUAAACCUUGCUCAUUUUUAGUAAUUUUUAUGUUUUUAAGUUCAUUUUAGCUUGAUCUAGCUAACCCGGGGUCUAAUUUGUAAAACUGUUAAACGUUUUGGAUUAUACCAUUGAUGAUUUUAGUGUGUUCUUGAAGUUCAAUGAUAGAUUAUUAAGCUUGGUUGUUAAAUAAUACUAUUUCGUAAAGUAAUUUUUUUUGCAAUUUUAAUGUUAAAGGACCAAAAUGUUAAAGUGAUAAAAUUACAAGGACCUGAUGUAAAAUAAUAGCAAGUAUGAGCUAUAAUGGAAUAGGAUACAAUUCGGUUGAAUUUUGAUUUAGUUAAAAUUGGUUAAAUUACAAGUUUGAAGCUUAGAGACUAAAUUGUAUAAAAGUAAAAUGUUGGGGGUAAUUUUGUAAAAAUAUAAAAAAUGACUUAAUUGCACAAAAUAGUUAAUUAUGUUUCUGGAAAUUGAUAAUUGGCUAAAAUUAUUAUUUAGAUUGUGAACGAGUUGAAAAUUGAGGAAAAGAGAAAGUUGCUGAAUAGUCAUUGAACUUUUGUCAUUUCUGUAGUUUAGCUCUGGCAAGUUCAUCUAAUAUGAACUCAAUUAUAUUUCUAAUUGUUUAUGAAUGUUAGAGCUUAAAUGAUAUAAAAUUACUAACAUUUAAAUUGAUUUAUUGAUAGAACUGAAACUGUAAAAAGUUACGAAAAUGGUAUUUUUUUAUAUCAAUGGAGACAGACUGCAUUCGUACGUAAGACCAUAACAAGGCUAUGGAAAUUAUAAACGUAAGACCAUAGUGAGACUAUGGCCGUUGUUCGGAUAUAAGACCAUGGUUGGACCAUGGCAAUGUAUACGUAAGACCAUAGCGAGGCUAUGGUAGUUAUUUAUACGAAAGACCAUGGUUGGACCAUGGCAAUGUAUAUAUGUAAGACCAUAGCUGGGCUAUGGCAUUCUGAUGAUAAGACCAUAACCGAGUUAUGGAACUAUGAACGCAAGGCCAUGACAAUGCACAUGUAAGACCAUAUUUGGACGAUGGCACAAUAUGAAACGUGUACUGGGGUUUCAAUCGUCUUUACAAUAUUCAUCGAAUGGAAAUAAAUGAGGAUCUAAAUGUGAUUUGAUAUGCGAAACGGUAAGUGGUUCGUAAUAGUAUAUACGUGUAAAUGUGGUAAAUGUUGUAUUAUCAUUAUAUGUUCAAGAGAUUAUGCAUUGUGAUAGUAAGAAAUGCGAAUGUUGUUGAAAUGUGGAAAUUUGAUUUGAACUAAUGUUUGAGCAUUACUCACUUAUUGUGAGCUAUGAUUGUCAAGAAUUCUGAUAAUAACCUUAUUGACAGGAACUCUGUUCAUUUAUCUUGUUAUUUUAAUUAUUAUGUUUAAUUUAGUAAGCUUUAUUGUUUAAUCGACGAACUUACUAAGCUUUAUGUAAGCUUACUCGUUUUCUUGUCUUUUUUUUUUGUAGAUUACGUUUUGUGGAAAUCAGGAGAUCGAAUCAACUCAUAGAAUCACACUACUCGAGGACCUCUUUGGUAGAUUUUGAAUUCAACUUGGCUUAUAUGGCAUGUAAUAGGAGAAUUUGAUUAUGUUUUGUAAUGGCUCCUAACUACUUACAUUGUAUAGUUGUUGUGUAUAUAAGGUUGUGGUUUGAAUAACUUUGUUAGAUAUGCAUCCUUAAUUCUAAACUUAAGCAUAAUGGAUGAACAUGGAAUGAUAAGUUGGCAUGAAUUAGAUAUGGUAAGUUGGGACUGAAUUUGAGUGUGUUUGUGGUUUGUGUAUAUUUGCUAAGGUAAUGAGAUCGUAGGGUUAGACUUGUGGUGUCUUUGUUGACACAUUGGAUUAGGGUCUUGGCUAAAUGAUUUAGCAUGUUUUGAAUGUUCUCGAAUGUGUUUUGAAGUCUUAUGAUCAUGUGUUAUAAAAUGGUUUAGGUACCUAAUCAUUUAGAUGUGAAAAGUGCAUGUUUUGAGUCAUUUUUAGGCACACACGGCCUGGGACACAGGCUUUCACAUGGUCGUGUGUCACACAUGAGCAACCCAUACGGGUGUGUGCUCCGAGUGUGUUAGGUGUAGGGUUCACACGGGCUGGCACAUGGGCGGAGACACGGGCAUGUGAGCCAAGUCAGUGAGUUACACGGGUGGACACACGGUGAGAACACGAGCAUGUGGAGUAGCCACACGGGCCUGUGGGAUAGCUACACGGCUAUGUCUGGAGGCACACGGUCUGGACUCUGUCACACGUCUUGGACAUAUAGCCGUGUAACCCUUGUUUUGAAAAUUUUUCAAUUUUUCUCUAAACUUCUUGAUUUGAUUCGAAUUGGUCCCUAAUUGUUCCUAAUAUAUUUUUAAGGUCUCGUAGGCUCGAUUUAGGCUCCGUAAAAUAUUUUUAUUUCAUUCUGAAUUAUAUUUGUAUUUGUGAAAUUGAUAUGAUUAUUAGAUGUUAAUUGUUAUGAGAUGUUCCGAAUUGUACGAUAAUACUCUGUAACCCUAUUCUGAUGACGAAAACAGGUUAUGGGUAUUACAUUUAGUGGUAUUAGAGUCACAGUUUAGUCGAUUCUUGGAUUGACCGUUACGUGUUCGAAGUCUAGAAAUUACAUGCCAUAUAAAUCGGUGAUAGUGUGAUAUGGAUCGAUCCGAUCUAACCCCUAUUUUAUUGUAAAUUAUAAAGAUGUCAUUUGAAUCUGAUCGUGACGAAACUAAUGAAGUUAAUAGUAACAUUCUGACUACUGAUUCUGGUGCAAGUCAUAGUAUACAAGUUCCACAAAUGACUGAAAAUGAGGUUAAGAAUAUUUUCUUACAGAUUUAAUGAAUGCUAAUAAAAUCUGACCAUACUGACCUUGAUGAGGUAAAUGGUAAUAUUCCAACUUAUAAAUAAGAGGUAAAUUAUAGUUUAUCGAUUUUGUAAAUGUCAAAUAGUGAAGUCAAAAUUUCCUUUCAACUUAAUGAGUUAGUAGUUCACAGAAAUAACGUGAGCCAAUUCGGAGGCUCUAUAAUUUCUACCCCUUGUCGAGCAUCAUGUGGUAACUUUGAGUCUUCAACCGACUGAAAUAGUUCGACGACUCUUGUGUAAAUAAUUAAGCAGUAUAGUGAUGAAGACUUCAGAAGUAAAACGGAUGAAGAUUCUAUUAACCGAAAAAUUGGAGAGAUUGAUUAAAAAUAAAAUUAACUAAAUUAAUUAACUAAAGAACACGACAAAGAACGAAUCAGGAAGACAAAUGAUUAACAACCAAGAAGCGAAACAAUAUCCAGGAAAGAAUCCACCUAGAUUUUAUCUGUCAUUAUCAAUCUGAAUUAAACAAUUUCUUCACUUUGCAUCUUGAUUUGUAGAAAUCUCUAAAUUAGGCUAAUAUUUAUUUCGACAGUAAAAGCAACUGACUUUAGGUUGAUUAAUUAAAAUUUCUUUCCAAUAAAAGCCCCUAAUAUCUCAUUAACUCGAUCUAUGGAUCCCCCUAUUAGAUUUGACUCUAAUGUAGUAGAUUUAUAUUGUCUUAUUUCUAGGAUUGCAUGCUCAAUUAUGCUAGAGCUACUCUUAAACAGAAACUUUUCCUCAUCUGAUUUAAGCACAUCAAGCAUGGAUUGAUAAUUUAAAAAUAUUAAACCAAGGAUUAAGCACAAAUAAUUGAUAACAAGAUGUAAGUAUUUAUUGCGUAAAAUAGAAGUUAAACAACCUAAUUCAUCAUAUGGUUUAUCUCCCCUAGGUAUUUAGAAAAUUAGUUCAUAAUCGCAAAUAAAAGUAUCUAGAAGACAGUAUAACCACAAGAAAUAAGAAAACCGAUAAAGGUUUUCAAUAUUGAUGGAAAUCUACUUUAGAGUCGGCUUCAAUGGUGUUUUUUGAGUUGUUUUCUUGAGUAUUAUAUGAUGGCUCACUCCCUUCUCUUUAUAUUUGGUAUGUAUAGGUUUUAGAAUGCCCGAAAAACCUAAAAAUUACGUUUUUCUGCAUUUCUGGAGUGCAUUUUACGAUUUCUACACAGUCUGGCACACGCCCGUAUGGCUCACACGGCUGUGUGUCUAGCUCAUGUGGAAUCGCUCAGCCAGUGUGGCUCCUGAAACUUGUUCCUAUUUUUCUAUUUUCUCUCGUUGUUUAGUCCUUUUGCUCCCAAAUACUCUCCUAAGUGUAAAAACAUGAAUUUAAAGGAUUAUGAACAUAAAAUUCACCAUUUUAAAUCGAAUAAUCAUCCAAAAAACACUUUAAGAAUUAGGCUAAAACAUGUUACUUUUGGCAUUUAUCAAAUAUCCCCACACUUAAACGUUUGCUUGUCCUCAAGCAAAAUCCUCAACCCGCAUUCAAAUUAAUUGUUCUCAAUUUAUCAUUUUCAUCAAUAAUGUUUUAAGAUAAUUCGCAAACAAUCAUGGAUUGAAAAUUCAACCAAAAGGAUACUAAAGAUUCAAGCAAUCCAAGCCAUUACCAUAAAGUUAUCUCACAUUAUCUAAACAAUUAUCUUAAGGUUCAAAUAUUGCGCACUCAACAUUCGAACGAGAACUGCCAUUACCAUAAGCUUGCUUAAAAAUAAAAUCUUCACCACUAUAGAAUGAGAUGACACACCAAUCAAGAGGUAUUUUCAAGGUUGUAAUAGGCCUUAGGUUAAGGGUAUGGAAAAUGUCAGAAAAGUCGAUUAUAAUCGAGAUCGAAUUGAUAAGUUACCAAACUAGAAAAAUAAUCAGUUGCUGAAUUAAAAGAACUUUUUUUUAAAAGAUAUAACUGGGCUAGUAUAAAUAAGGGAAACAAAACACAAUAAUACCUAAUAUAAUUAGGUUUGGAGUUUGCUGAAAACACCCUAAAGCAAUAGGUGGGCUACAAAGUUUACCUAUCAGAAUUUUAGCCUAACAAAAUAGAAACGAAAAAAUGAAAAAAAAACACAAAACCUAACAUUAUUACCCAGUCAAAUCAGACAGCCUGGACACAUUAAAAUCUCUCUUUUUCAUGCUGAAUCAUCACAUCUGUUUGGCAGAAAAAAAUUUCCAAAACGUUCUUUCUUCAAUCCUGUUACCAUUUUCAAUUCUCUUUCUUUUUGAAAUUUUCUUCAAUCCGGGUUUCUUGACCAUUCCUCUUCCAUGGGUUCUUCGUUGUAGAUCGACUCAUCUCUAACCAGGUACCUCUUUUCCCCAUUUGCUAAUGUUUCUUUUGCUAUUUUGUGGGCUUGGAAGUUCUCUGAUUUUUGAAUAAACUGAAAAUCUAUUUCUUGAAAUAGCGAACUAUGACUCUUGAUAUCUUUGAUAACUACUCCAAUGAUCGAUUUAUCCAUCUCUGUCGAUUGACAUUUUUUAAUGACUGUUUUCGAAUCUCCCCUUAUUGUGACUGAUCGAAGGCCCAGUGAAAUACCCAGCUUGAUUGCUUGUAAACAAGCGAAUGCCUCUGCAAGAAAUGGGGAUGAGACAUUGGAAUGAAGGGUUGUUUUUAAGACUCUUAUCUCUCCCUUCCAGUUUCGUACAAUGACCCCCGACGCUGAUCUGGACCUGUUUGCAUCAAAAGCUGCAUCAAAUUGUAUUGUGUCCUCCAUUUUCUCCUCCGUCUCUGUAUUUUGGCAGUCUUCAAGGUACGUCUUUCCUUACCCACUCCUUCAAGUUCUGCUAUAUAGCUCUCUACUUUCUGUGUAAGGUUCCUUCCUGAUGUGUUUUUUCUCAUGUACCAUUUGAUUUCGUGAGCUCCAUAUGAUCCAUAAAGCGCAACAAAACAUCUGACACUGUUCCUUAGUUCCUUUUGCAAAUACCCAUGUAAGCCAUGUUUUGGUAUUUUGAUCUGAAUAUGAUGUAACCCAAUCCAUGUUAAUAUUCUGCCAAACUUCAGUAAUUGUAGGGCAUUGCUGGAAUACAUGGAAGCUGUCCUCUUCCCCGGAGCCACAACGAGGGCAUCUCACGUUUGUGGUUAUUCGCUUGUAUCGUAGGUUGGCUAGUGUAGGAAUAUAAUUCCAGGAUAUCCGCUAGACAAACAGUAGAGUUUUUGAUGGAAGUUGUAAAUCCCAUAACUUUCUGUAGAAUUCUUUAAAAUCUGUCUAUAAUAAGUUAUUAAAAAUCGAAUCAACUUCUUGUAAUAGUUUAUAGGCACUCCGUACAGAGAACUCUCCGGUCGGUUCACCUUUCCAAACGUGUAAGUCUUCACUGUUCGUUUCUGCAAGUGGUAUCUCCAAAAAUUUUUGAGCUAUAUCUGAUUGAAAGGUACUAAUAAUGACCUCCGUUUUCCACUUCUUAUUUGUUCCAUCAAUUAAAUCUGAUACUAUUUUUAGUUCCCUAUUUUCAUCUCCGUUCUGCCAUGUACUAGGUUCAAUCCUUGGAAUCCACCGAUUUGUCCAGAAGGAAACAUUGUUUCCUCUCCAACUCUCCAACUUAGCCCUGGAAGGAGGAGUCUCUUUGUUGCCCAGAUGCUCUUCCAGGUAAGAGAAGGUAAAUUCCCUAACUUUGCACUUAAAAAAUCAGAUUGUGGAUAAUACUUUGCUUUAAGGACUCUAGCUAAAAGUGAAUUUGGAUAAUUAAAAAGAUGCCACCUGUAAUGGCCCAAAUUCAAAAUUAUCGGAAUAGUGGUUUCGUAACCACAAAUCCAAUUUAAAGAGAAAUUUAUUUUAAUAUUUUUGCAUGAAUAUUGAUAUGAUAGGAAAAAUCGUAUGAAAAUAUCGAUAGAAAAAUUUUACUGAUUAAGCGGUUAGUUAGAAAAAGAAAUUAUUGAAGAAAUUAGGUAAAAAUAAGAUAUCGAGACUUCGAUCUCGUAAAACCGAGUCAAAAAUAUUUUUAUAAAUAUUUAUGAAGUGUUAGUAAUAUGGUAUUAAAAUUUCGUUAGAAAAUUUUAAUGUUUGGGUAGUCAAUUAAGUAAAAAGGACUAAAUUAAAAAAGGUGUAAAAGUUACUAGAGGGAUUAAAUAGCUCAGUUGUGAAAUGAGGAGAGACAUAAAUUGCAAAUAACCCCAAAAGGAGAUAUUUUGGGCGGCAUACUCUGAGAAAAAUCAGGAGAAUUGAAGAAAUAAGGGUAAAAUUGGAAUAUUACAAAAUUUGCUUUAAAAGUUAGAACUAAAGUGGAAUUAUCUAGAUUUCUCUUUAUUUUUCUGCAUUCUCAUCAGCCAAAAACGUCCUAAGGGUUUCUUCAAGCUGGUUUUUCAUAAUUUUUGCACCAAGUGAGCUAAUUCUUGCCUUUUUCUUGUAAUUUUUGUGUUUCUAAGACUUUUACAACUAGGUCCUAUUACUAAAUUCAUUAGUUUUUGAUUUUAUGAAUGAUAUUGAAAGUUGAUAUGAAUAUGUGCUGGAAUUUUAUGAGGAAAUAGGAUUAAAUUGAUGCUUUAAUUUGUUUAUGAGAUGAUUUUAUUAGGUAAUUCCAAUAGAAAUUGAUUUGUAGGACCUAAUUGUGAAAAAGUUUGGAAUUAAAGUUUAGUGCUGAAAUUAUGAUUUCCAAAGGUUAUAAGGUAGUUUAAAGUGAUAUAAUAAAGUGUUGAUUGAGAAAAAUCAGCUCAAUUGAGAGGUUAAUUGAGCAGGGACGAAAUUAUCAUUGUUGAAAGUUUAAGGGAAAAAUGGUAAUUAACACCAUGCACUAAAACAGUUUUGGACAGCAGCAGUACUCUGACUUUGAAAAAUCACCAAAAAUUGUAGAGAUCGAAUUAGAGGAUGAAUAAAAUAUGAAAUUAAAGAUUAUUGAGUCUAGUUUCUUAUAAAAGAAACGAUGUAAGCAAUGGAAUUCUAAAUCAUGAGAUAUAAUAGAUUUUGUGAGACAAGGUCAGAAUGAAUUCGGGUUCCCCUGUUCUGACUUUGGAAAAUCAUUAAAAAUUGUAAAAAAAUUAUUAUGAGUUAUAAUUUAUAUUAUUAGAAUCCUUAAUGAGUCUAUUUUCUGAAGAAAUAAAGUUAAGCAUCAUCCUAAUUCUGUACAGUGAGAUAAUUUAUUUUUAGUGAAGAGGGGUCAGAACUGUCAUAUAGUGAAACAGGGGAAACUUUAAAGAAUAAAAUGUACUUAUUGGCUAAACUAAAAAUUCUGAAAUUUUUAUGGUAAGAAUAUAUGUGAGUCUAGUUUCAGGUAAAAUUAACGGAUCUUAAUUUGGAGUUCUGUAGCUCAAGAUAUAAAUAAUUUAAUGACUGUGACUCAGUGAGGCAGCUUUGAAUGCACUAUAAAUAAUAAUGUAAUUGUAGAGAAAGUUACAUAUGAACAUGAAAUGUAUUAGAUUAAUGAUUAAAUUUAUUUAUUUAGAUCCAGAAAAUUCAAAUACGAAGCAAGAUCGAGGAAAAGAAAAAGUUCGGGAUUAGUAGAUUUUUGUUUACGAACAAUUGUCGAGGUAAGUUCGUGUAACUUGAAUUAUAUUCAUAAAUGCUUGAAAUGUUUGUUAUUGAUGUGAAUAUGAUUUGGAUGUUUAUUGUAUGAUAACUGAUGAAGUAUUGAUAUUCUGGAUGAAAAGAGGAAAUAAAUCCCGGUUGAAUGAAAGGAAAAUUCGAUGGAUCUCUGAAAAGGAAUUGACGGUAAAAAGGAUCUAGCCCGGACGGGUGAUCCUAUCCUGAUAUAGCCCUCCCGAAGAAUAUGUGGAAAAUGGAUUUAGCCCGGACGAGUAAUCUGAAUUAGGGUCUGAAUUUAGCCUGGACUGGUAAUUCAGAUCCAAGCUCAUUAGAGUAAUUGUCGUUGCAGGGAUUUAGCCUGGACUGGUAAUCCCGACAUACUCUGUGAGUUAUAUUAUAGGGGAUUUAGCNNNNNNNNNNNNNNNNNNNNNNNNNNNNNNNNNNNNNNNNNNNNNNNNNNNNNNNNNNNNNNNNNNNNNNNNNNNNNNNNNNNNNNNNNNNNNNNNNNNNAAUUGACGGACCCGGAUUUGUACACUUAGGUGUACCCCUGAAUAUCCAUCGAAAUUCCAAGUAGUUCAACGGGAUAAAUAUGGAAAAAUAACAAGGAAAUGGAAAUCAUGGAAUUGAUGAGCUCAUCAAUCAUUUAUCUUUGUAAUGAAUUUGUAUGAGGUUGAGUUUGUAUGUGAUAGGUAUAUGUUUACGUGAAUUGGAUGUGUGCUUGUGUUAUUAAAUGAUGGAUGUAUAAGUAUGGUAAGUGUAAUUCCUGUUGCAUGAACUUACUAAGCACAAAGUGCUUACCCUGUUUCUUUUUCCCCUGUUUGUAGAGUUAAGAGUUCGGAGGUCGGAUUUGGUCGGAGACACAUCACACUAUCAAUCUCGAGAUCUCGGUACAUAAAGGAACUUUAUUUUGGAAAUCAAUGGCAUGUAUAAGCUAGUAAAUUAGAUGUUAAUGUGAAAUGAAUGUAUGGUUAGCCAUUGGUAUGGCUAACAAAUUUUGGUUUUGGUAUGUGAUGAAAUUAUCUUAUGAAUAUGAUAAAUCUAUCUUGAAAAAAAAAAUUCGGUAAAAUCUGGUAAUGCCUCAUACUCUAUUUCGGCGGUGAAUACGUGUAGGGGGUAUUACACCACCCCUGUUUGGCUAAUAACACAAUAUUAAGCUGACUGAGAUUACGAAAACCCAAACCUCCAUUUUCUUUUAAACUGCAAAGUUUAUUCUAAGAGCACCAAUGAAUUCCCCUUGUACCAUGACCCUUUUCCCACAAAAUUUUGCGAUAAUUGCUUCCAUUUCUUCGCAUAAAGUUUUUGGGAGUAAGAAGCAAACCAUUGAAUAUGUCGGGAGGGCCUGUAAUACAGCUUUGAUGAAAACUUCUUUCCCGCCCUGCGAUAAAAAUCUAGUGCUCCAGUUGUCAAUACGCUGCCUUAGUCUAUCUUUCAAAGCCUGAAAAGAAGCCUUUUUUUUUUAUCCUACCAUGGUCUGUAACACCCCUUACUCGAGACCGUUUCCGGAGUCGAGCUCAAGGCAUUACUUUAUUUAACUUAUUAGUUCGGGGCAUAAAAGUUUGCUUUUAAAAUUUAUCUCACUAUCUAUGAUAAAGCUGUCCACUCGCGCAGCAGUCACUAAAUCAUUUAUAACUCGAGCUACGGAACUCGAAAUUUAAAUCCGUAAAUUUUCCUUGAAACUAGACUCAUAUAUAUUCUUACCAUUAAUUUUUUAGAAUUUUUGGUUUAGCCAAUUAGUACAGUUUAUUAGUUAAAGUCUCCCCUGUUUCACCACUCAAUUGUCCUAGCCUCUUGCCACUAAAAAUAAGUUUUCUCAUUUUAGGAAUUUCGUAUGGUGUUCUCACUUGUUUCUACAAAAAAUAGACUCAAUAAGGAAUCUAGACAUACAAAUUACAACUCAUUUUUUACAAUUUUUAGUGAUUUUCUAAACUCUGAACAGGGGACUCCAAAAACGGUUCUGACCCUGUCUCACCAAAAUUCGCAUAUCUCAAAAUAUAAAAUUCCUUUUGCUAAACCGUUAUUUUUCCAUGAAAAUAGACUCAACAAAAUUUCAGUAUAUAUAUCAUACACCCUCUAAUUCAUUUUAUACUAUCCUAAGUGAUUUUUCAAAAUCACGUCAUUGCUACUGUUUGAAAUCUGUUUCUUUGCAAAUUAUUACUCUUUCAUGAUUUCUAUGCAUAAUUUAUCACAUAGACAUGUAUAACAACAAACACCUUCAUACUUAACCAUUUUGACAACAAUUCAUCUUUAGAUAUUUACACAUCAUUAUUUAGCAAAAUCAUAAUACAACAUUCAAAAUAAGUAAGUCCAUAUACAUGCCAUAGUUCAAACAUAGUUCAUCAUAAAAUACCGAGUCGUUGUGGUUGAUAGUGUGGACGAUCUCCGACGUCUUUAGGAUCCUCGACUUUGAUUAAUAAUGCUAUAUAAAAAGAAAAUAAGCAAAGUAAGAAUAAUGCUUAGUAAGUUUACAAGUAAAUAAAUAGCAACAUUUAACACAAUUAAUAAUACUCAAGUGACAUAAUCUUUAAUUUCCUCUGUACUUACUUCCUUACUCGUUCUCUUGCUUGUUUACUUAGUUAGCUCAUAAUUAUGACUUACUUUUCUCUUGCUGAAACGUUGAUUCUCAAUGGGUAACAUAAUAUACUCUUAACUCUUAUAACUCACUUGAACUUGCCAUUUAUGCUUUUAACUAAAUUUUCAUGAACAUAAGUUAUUUACUAGCCUGUUGAGCCACAUUGAAACAAUAAUGAUACUUGGGUCUCUUUCUGAUAAUAACAUGCCAAAGCCAUGUCCCAGACAUAGUCUUACAUGGGAUGUUUCAUGUACUACCAAUGCCAUGUCCCAGACAUGGUCUUACGGGGGACCUCUCAUCUCGGUGCCAACGCCAUGUCCCAGACAUGGUCUUACGGGGGACCUCUCAUCUCGGUGCCAACGCCAUGUCCCAGACAUGGUAUUACAUGGGACCUCUCGUCUUGGUGCCAACGCCAUGUCCCAGACAUGGUCUUACAUGAGACCUCUCAUGAUCUCAAGGAUGCCAAUGCCAUGUCAUAUACAUGGUCUUACAUGGGAUCUCUUUACCCAAAUGUCAUGACAUUUGCAUCCAAUACGUUCCUCAUGUUUCAACGGGGCCUUUUAACACUGAUUCUCUGUCAUCUCAUACUUGAGUUAACAUUAGAUAUUUUCAUGAAAUAAAUACAUAAUUGCUGAAAAAUAACAAUAUUAAUAAUAAUUAUCAAAAUAUUGCAUUUAUUUACCGUAAACUUACCUCGGUACCAAAUAUAGCCAAAUCUACCACUUAGUCUUCAAUCUUAUUCUUUCCUUGAUCUAACCUCAAAUUCCAUUCUUUUUGAUCUAUAAUAGAAAAUUUAAAUUAUUUAAUACUCACAUUCAUUAAAACAUCCCUCGACUCUAACUUUGGAAAAAUUACAAUUUUUCCCCUAAACUUUUACAUAAUUACACUUUUUCCCCAAAGCUCGGAAAUUAAACUUCAUCUCUUAUUCUUAUGUUUUACAACAUGCUGAACAUUUUUCUCUUCUAUGACAACAUCAAAUUCUCACUCUAACAUCUACUUAUGAACAUUAGGUAUUUUAUCGAUUAUGGAGUUUUACUCGUUUUUGCUUAAAAUCGACUAGCAAAAGUUGUUUAACAUAAUUUCUAACUUCAUAUUAUAUAUUAAAACAUCAAAAUAAACACUUUUCACCUAUGGGUAUUUUUCCAAAUAUAAACCCUAGGUUAAAUUAUUGCUAGAAUAAACUAAAUUAAGCUACCGGGAUCGCAAAAAUGUAAAGAACAUUAAAAACAGGGCUUGGAAUCACUUACUAUGAGCUUGAGAAAGUGUGAAAACCCUAGCUAUGGUGUCCUUCAAAUUUUGGCAGCAAGCUUUUUUGGAGAAGAUGAUAUUUUUGCCAUCUUUUUCCCUUUUUAUUCUUUUUAUUAUUCAAUGACUAAAAUACCCUUCAUUAAAACUUUAAUUAUUUUUAUCUAUGCAUGUCUAUUUUUGUCCAUGGAAAUUUUAUGGUCUAAUUGCUAUUUAAGGACCUCUACUUUGAUUAUGCACUUCAAAUAAAUCCUUUAUCAUCUAAAACUCAUAUUUACCCACUUUUGCAAUUAAGUCCAAAUAGGCAAUUUAGGCAUGCAAUCAAUAAAAUUUCUUAUCAAUACUCUAGUACUUAUAUCUAAUUACUCGAUAAAUAAUAAAAAUUAAUAAUAAUUUUCCUUUAUAUUGGAUUUGUGGUUAUGAAACCACUAUUCCGAUAACCUUAAAUUUGGGCCAUUACAUGGUCGGCAAACCUAGAUAACAUUCUGGUUCAUUUGAGCUUCGGAUUCCCAGCAAGUUUACCACCUGACUUCUUUCUUCUGCCGUCGUAUUUUUGCUGGAAAAAUAGUUGAUUUGUCCAUAUUCACACACUGUCCCGAACCUCUUUUAUCCUCACUUAAGAUUUCCUUGAUUGUAUUAUCCCCACUACAUGUUGCCUCCCCAAAAAGAAUGCAAUCAUCUGCAAAUAAUAAAUGUGAUACCUGUGGUCCUCUUCUGCUUACUUUGACACCCUUCAAAAAACCUUCAUUUGUUGCUUUUCUCAUAAGACUGGAAAGGCCUUCCCCACAUAUUAAGAAAAGAAAUGGACUCAAAGGAUCACCCUGUCGAAGUCCCCUCGAUGGACUGAAUGUCACCCCGACAUUUCCAUUUACCACAACCUUGUAAGAAACAAUAGUCAUGCAAUUCAUAAUAGUAUCAAUCCAACUUCGAGCGAAACCCAUUCGACACAUUAUUUCUUUAAUAAAAUUCUAUUCAACUCUAUCAUAAGCUUUACUCAUGUCCAAUUUUACAGCCAUAUAGCCUUUUUUCCCCACUCUUUUCUAUUUUAGGGAAUGCAAUAUCUCGUAAGCAAGCAAAACAUUAUCCGAGAUUAAUCAUCCUGGCACAAAGGCACUUUGUGCACUAUCAAUGCAUUUAUCAAUCACUCCUCUAAAUCUGUUCGCUAUAACUUUUGCCAUUAUUUUAUAAAUGACAUUGCAUAAACUAAAAGGCCUAUAAUGUGUCAUAUUAGCCGGGUUAUUAAUUCUUUGAAUGAGCACAAUAUGAGUUGUAUUAAUUGAACUAACCUCCAUAUCUUCAUUCAAGAGUUGUAGACAGAAGGAAACUACAUCAUCUCCAAUAAAAUGCUAAUACUUCUGAUAAAAUAAAGCUGGGAAUCCAUCUUCGCCUGGUGCCUUAGUGGGUGCCAUCUCGAACAAAGCCUCGCGGAUUUCUUCUCAUGUAUAUUGCACAGUCAGCUUUUUAUUUUCCUCUUUAUAGAUACAUCAACCAAUACCCGAGAGUAAAUAGUCGAGAUUCUCUUGAUUCUCUGAAGCAAAUAAAUUCUGGAAGUAGGACCUUGCUAUUUCUUUCAUUUCCUGGGGAUCUCCCGUAUCCCUUCCAUGUGCAUUUUGUAACCUCCUGAUCUUGUUUUUCCUCUGUCUUUGGGUUGCCUGGCUAUGGAAAAAAGCUGUAUUUUUGUCACGUAAUUUUAACCAAGUCAAUCGAGCCCUUUCCUCCUCAUAUCUUUCCUCCUUCUCAAACUCCAUAUUUAGUUGAAUCUUCGUAUCGAUCAUCUCCGCCAUGUUAAUGUCGUCCCUGUCAGCAUUGAGCAGCCCAGAUAGCUUUGUUGUUAAAAAUUUCUUUUUUUCAUUUUUCUUGUUUCGUAUUUUCCCAGCCCAAUUUUCAAGCCCCUUAUUUAGGAUUUUCAUUUUCUACAAAAAAUUACCUGGUGUCAUCUUCCACAGCUGCUCAGCUUAAGCAACAAACGAGUCCUCCAAAAACCACCAGUUUUCAAUUCUGAAUAUAUUCCCAUUUUGUCGUCUUGUUUCUUUUUUAGUAUCAAUUAAAAUGGGACAAUGAUCAGAAAAAGAAUGAACCAAAUGUUGAGCUUUAACGUAAGAAAAUAAUGAAAUCCAUUCCUUAUUUGCCACCCCCUAUCCAACCGUUCUCGUAUAUUUUUUUUGGGAGAUUACCUCUUUCCCAUGUGAACCAUUUGCCCGAAUAACCCACAUCAUUCAAUUGACAAAACUCCAGCGCUUUCCGAAACAUUUCCAUCCGUCUUUCAUCACGGGGCAAGCCUCCCUUCUUCUCAAAACCAUACAUGACUUCAUUGAAAUCUCCACAUACUAACCAUGGUAUAUUAUCUCCAUUAGAGAGAUUUUUGAGAACAGCCCAUGAAUCUUCUUUAUCUUGUGCGUACGGGGUACCAUAGAAACCUGUAAAAAGCCACAUAACCUCCCUCUCAUCGUCAUGGACUAUCGCGUCAAUAUGCCUUUUAGAGAAAUUUUUUAAAGAAAUAUUAACGCCAUUCUUCCAUGCCAAACAUAGCCCUUCUCUAGUUCCCUCUGCGUCCACCUCAAUGCCAUUCACAAAACCACAUCUCUGUCAAACUCUUUCCAUCUGUUUUCCGUAAAGUUUAGUCUCCAUAAAGAAGACUAUGUGGGGAUCACAAGUCUUCAGCGAGUGCCGAAGUCUUCUAACUGUCCGUGGACUCCCCAAUCUACGGAAAUUCCAACUUAUUAUUUUCAUAACGCCCGGUCGGCUUGCCUCUUGGCAGCCGCCGAUGACAAAUGAUUAAGAUCCAUUAAUCUCCUAUUUCUUGCCGGGGAAUUUAACUCCCCAGUCUUUGAUAAGUCGUCACUCUCCCUUCUAGAUCUUUUUUUACCUUCUUCUCCUACUAAGGCUACAUCCUCCAAGUCAUGAUCCAUCGCAUGUUGACCAUUGUCUGUCAGUGAGCUAACCUGCUUUGCAUAAUCAAAUAGUAAGCCACCUUCCAGAUUAAUGCUGAGAACUGGUUCAAUAGCCUUCCCAAAACUCUUCAUGUGCCCCAUUCUCUGUGGUCCAUUCAUAAAUUGUAAUGGCCCAAAUUCAAUUCUAUCGGAAUAGUGGUUUCGUAACCACAAAUCUGAUUUAAAGAGAAAUUUAUUUUAAUAUUUUUGCAUGAAUAUUGAUAUGAUAGGAAAAUUGUAUGAAAAUAUCGAUAGAAAAAUUUUACUGAUUAAGCGGUUAGUUAGAAAAAGAAAUUAUUGAAGAAAUUAGGUAAAAAUAAGAUAUCGAGACUUCGAUCUCAUAAAACCGAGUCAAAAAUAUUUUUAUAAAUAUUUAUGAAGUGUUAGUAAUAUGGUAUUAAAAUUUCGUUAGAAAAUUUUAAUGUUUGGGUAGUCAAUUAAGUAAAAAGGACUAAAUUGAAAAAGGUGUAAAAGUUACUAGAGGGAUUAAAUAGCUCAAUUAUGAAAUGAGGAGGGACAUAAAUUGCAAAUAACCCCAAAAUGAGAUAUUUUGGGCGGCAUACGUUGAGAAAAAUCAGGAGAAUUGAAGAAAUAAGGGUAAAAUUGGAAUAUUACAAAAUUUGCUUUAAAAGUUAGGACUAAAGUGGAAUUAUCUAGAUUUCUCUUUAUUUUUCUGCACUCUCAUCAGCCAAAAAAUGUCCUACGGGUUUCUUCAAGCUGGUUUUUCAUAAUUUUUGCACCAAAUCCGGAAAAUUCAAAUACGAAGCAAGAUCGAGGAAAAGAAAAAGUUCGGGAUUAGUAGAUUUUUGUUUACGAACAAGUGUCGAGGUAAGUUCGUGUAACUUGAAUUAUAUUCUUAAAUGCUUGAAAUGUUUGUUAUUGAUGUGAAUAUGAUUUGGAUGUUUAUUGUAUGAUAACUGAUGAAGUAUUAUAUUCUUGAUGAAAAGAGGAAAUAAAUCCCGGUUGAAUGAAAGGAAAAUUCGAUGGAUCUCUGAAAAGGAAUUGACGGUAAACAGGAUCUAGCCCGGACGGGUGAUCCUAUCCUGAUAUAGCCCUCCCGAAGAAUAUGUGGAAAAUGGAUUUAGCCCGGACGGGUAAUCCGAAUUAGGGUCUGAAUUUAGCCUGGACUGGUAAUUCAGAUCCAAGCUCAUUAGAGUAAUUGUCGUUGCAGGGGAUUUAGCCUGGACUGGUAAUCCCGACAAUAUUCUGUGAGUUUAUAUUACAGGGGAUUUAGCCUGGACUGGUAAUCCCGCUGUAAGGAUGAGGUUCGCGGGAGUGUGCUCUCUGAAAUGGAAAUGUGCGCACAUGAAUAUGAAUUGACGGACCCGGAUUUGUGCACUUAGGUGUACCCCUGAAAAUCCAUCGAAAUUCCAAGUAGUUCAACGGGAUAAAUAUGGAAAUAUAAUAUGGGAAUGGAAAUCAUGGAAUUGAUGAGCUCAUCAAUCACGAUAUAUAUAUUAUUGAUACAUGGAAAUUAUUAGACUAACUUGAAUGUUGAGUUUGUGUAUGAUAGGGGAAUAAUGUAUUGAAUGGAUGUAUGAAUGUUUAUUGCAUUGUGUUAAAAAUAUUAGGUAAGUAUAAUUCCUGUUACAUGAGCUUACUAAGCACAAAGUGCUUACCCUGUUUCUUUUUCCCCCUGUUUGUAGAGUUGAGAGCUUGGAGGUCGGAUUUGGUCGGAGACGCAUCACACUAUCAAUCUCAAGAUCUCGGUACAUAAAGAAACUUUAUUUUGGAAAUCAAUGGCAUGUAUAAGCUAAGAAAGUAGAUGUUAAUGUGGAAUGAAUGUAUGGUUAGCCAUUGGUAUGGCUAACAAAUUUUGGUUUUGGUAUGUGAUGAAAUUAUCUUAUGAAUAUGAUAAAUCUAUCUUAAAAAAAAAUUCGGUAAAAUCUGUUAAUGCCUCAUACUCUAUUUCGGCGACGAAUACGGGUAGGGGGUAUUACAUAAAUCUCAUGUUUGGCUCCUGAAUCCCGUCUGAACUCCCCUCCCCUUCCUCUCGUAGCCAGACACUACUCAUAGUCAGAGCUCUUCGGGAUUGUGCUUUUAUUGAUAAAUCCCACCCCAUUUCAGCUAUUUCCACUCCAGUCAUCGUUUUUGCCUCACAAAACGAGUCAUUAUGGCCUAGUUUUCCACAAUAGAAGCAGAAAAGAGUCAAUCUUUCAUAUUUAAAACAGACAUAUGAUCGUCUCCCACAGAAUUCGAUCAACUUAGACCCUAACCCUCAUAAAGUUUCUAUUUUCUUUCCAUAAAUUUGACACAUCAUAUUCCAUAAAAUACCCCAAAAAAUUCCUUAGAUUCACUGCUAAAUUUUUAGAAAACAAACCAAUGGGCACUUCAUGUAUCUGAACCCAGAAAGGGGUUAGCACUAAAGGGACCUGCAACGAAUCCUCCCCCCACCACAGUCUAUAAAAUAUCAAUAGAUGAUUAUUGAAGGUCCAUGAGGAGCCUUUCAAAACCCUCUCCAUAUCCAUAGAAUGAAAAAAUUGGAACAAAAACCUUUUUCCCCCCAAAUCCCGAAUGCAAACUCCUCGAACAGGAUGCCAUAGAUUUGACAUAGUACUUUUCAUGGCUGGAAAGUGAAUUAUACUCGUAAGAAAACACCCCACUAAUUGAAAAAACUCCUCACUUCUUUCCGUACCUAGAUUUUUUUUUGAAUUUUAAUAACAACAUCUUCCUCUUCGUUGAUCGAUAAUUGGGCUAAUUCAUUCUCCAUAAUUUUUAGGGACACAAUGCCGUAAGCCAAAAAGAAAGACAGAAGAACAAAAAACCUAAAAUCUUGCCAGAGGCAGCAGACACAAAUGGCUAGGCGUUGCUGAAUUAAAAGAACUUACAUCAACAAGAAUAAUCACAAAUGGAAACGAGCUUUUCGACAGAAUAUGAAACUAAUUAUUCAAGCUCAAUAAAAAAAAUAUGUUUUUGUUCUUUUUUUUCUUUUCGAUUUCUUUUUUUUUUUUGAGAAAUAGUUAGGCAACUAACCAAAUCAAAUCUUGACAAAAAGAGGAGUCAAUAAAAAGGAUACAUUUACAAAAUAGAUUUGGGUUAAGGGUUAACAUUAAUAGGUUAAAAAAAUGUUAGGAUCAAUGAGGUUUACUGGGGGUUAACACAACAAUUAAGGUGGUUAAAUGGGUUAAAUCCUAAGUGUCUCUAUAAUGUCAAUAUAUUAAAUCAAUAAUAUGGUCUAGAUAUGUAUAAUAUAAGAAAGUUCUAGAAUAACAAAUGAAGUUGACAUACUUUCAACCAAAAAUAAAAUGAUCACGAAUAAAUAUAUGCUCUAUAGGCUCAAAGGCUCACAAAAAAUUAAGGUUUUGAUGUCAAACUUGCAAUUUCAGAGUUUGAAGAUAAUAAUUCAAUUCAGGGAGGCAACCUAAAAUAUUUAUUUCUUAAAAAAUAACUUAUCAUGCUUGACUCUCUCGUGCCUUAAAGACACACAAAUUAAUCCAAAACAAUAUCAAUAAAAAUUUCAAAUAAAAAAUUCACUCUAAUGGAUAACCUUCUCAGACUUAAGAUGUACAUUGUCCUUAAUGGACAAAUAGAUGUAAGCACAGAAUAAGAUAAUAUCAAAAGAGAGGGAGAACUGAAAUUGCCCUGAAUAUGGAUGAAUUCACCAUAAUAGUGAAAACUGGAAUCGUAAACGAGUUUAAAUGAAAUGCAUGUUUCUGAGCAAACUAAUAAGAAAAUGAACAAAAAUAAAUAAGAAGGUAAAGAGAUUAUAAACUCGAACAAAAAAACCAUCAAAAUAAUAAAAAUAACAACAUAGUUUAAAAUAGAAAUAAAAUAAAUUAGUAUCACAAAAAAAUACAACAAUUAAAAAUAAAAGCACAAUUGAAAAUAAAAUAAAUAAAGCAAAUAAAAUGAAAAAAUCAGUGAUCGUCGUCGUGAGAGGCGUCAGGAUCGUACGGAACAUAAGCAGAAUGAGUGAUAUGGAGGUGCUGGUGAAUCGAUGCAAAGCCGCGUAAAUGUUUGUUGAACAGUGCUUACGGUUACUCGACGUACUCAUAAUGUAACCGCUCGAGGUGAUUUAGCCGAUGUGAAAUAUCGUCGAGUGUGACUGAAUGUGCAGGUGCGGUAGUAGAAGGGCUCGGAGAAGUGGGAAUGGGUCGCAGUGCUGGGGGGAGAUCAUUGUUAAGGUGCUCAUUAUCCUUGUGCUAUUAAGUCACUCGUAGCAACACAUACUGAUCACCGAAAGGCCCAGACUAACGAGCGAUCAUCCUCAUGUGUUUCAUAAUAUUUAAACCUUGUGGUGUCAUGUCCCCAACCAAAGUAAGAGUACUAAUCUGUUCGAGAGUCUCGAUGAGACUGAAGAGACUAGUCAAGAGUGUGAUAUAUAGACCCAUACAAAGAGGUCCUCUCCGUGACCGCUCACUCUGAUUACAACAACACUGAGCUACGAAGUGGGAUAGAUCAAUCAGAUGUUGUCCGUGCAUGCUCUAUAAGAAAUAUGCAUCUAAAGUGCCCAUGACGCUUGUAACGACCCGUUUUCAGUGGUGUUAGAAAUAGUGAUUUUGGGACCACAAUUCUGACGAGUGAAUUAUUAUUUUAUCAUUUAUUUAAUGUUUAUCGGAUUAUAUUAAGGUCGUAUUAAAAUUUUGUUAAGAAAUUUUGAUGUUUAAAUGGUUAAUUAGGUGAAAAGGACUAAACCGUAAAAAGUGUAAAAGUUGAGAGUUCUAUUAGUUAAAGUGGUCCAAUGACUAUGAAAUCAAAAAAUAAAAGGAUUGAUUGGUAAAUAUACCAUUUAAAGUGUCAAUGGAUGUGCAUGGACAAGGUUUUAAUGAAAUUUUGAUAGUUUUUAAAGGUUAAAAUGACAAUUGAAUAAUUAACUUAAAAACAAAAGAAAUUAAAAAUGGUAUCAUCUUUAUCCUUGGCUAUCUCCACCAAAAUUUGAAGAGAAAAACAUGAUUAGGAUAGGGUUGAGAAUUCGAUCAAGUUUCUACUUGUAUGUAAGCGAAUUCAAGCUCUGUUUUUAAUAAUUUUUGUGUUUUUAGUUCAUUUUAGCUUAAUCUAGCUAGCCCGGGGGUUAAUUUGCAAAACUAUUAAUGGUUGAAAGACUUGUCAUGGAUAUUUUUGAAUGUGUUUUGACAUUUUUUGAUUGAUUAUUUAUCUUUGUUGUAAAAUAAACAUGUUUGUUAAGUGAUUUUUAUUGAAUUUUAGAAAUAUGGAUUAGAUUGUUAAAAGUAUAAAGCCAUGGGUUUUGUUGUGAAGUGUUGGUAAUAAUGGGUUGUUUCAAGGUCUCUUUGAACAUUGGUUAAGUUGGAUUUAGGUUAAAAUGAUUAGAGUUUAAGUUAUGAGCUUGAGGACAAAAUUGUGAAAAGUCAAAGUAUUAGGGUAAAUUUUGUAAUUCUUCAUAAAUAUUAAUUAUGGAUUAAAUUUAAUUCUAGAAGUACUUAAUUGAAUGAAAUUAUUUAUUUAGAUCAAGAUAAACCACAAUCAUACUUAAAUUGAAGAAAAGCUAAAGCUUCGGAUUAGUGUUCGAUUAUACUUUUACGCCCUAGUUAUCGAGGUAAGUUCGUAUGAACUAUGAUCGUUUUAAUGUUAGUUAAAUUGACUAUUUGAUGUGUUGUUUUAAUAUAAAUGAAUCUAUGUAUAAAUGUAUCUAAGUUAUGAUGAUUUGACGGAUAACGAGUCUUGUUUGAACCUUAAGAAUUCUUAGGAUACAAAUGACAUGUCAUUAGGGAUUUCAUGUUUCGGGUGUUGGUUUUGAAUGUCCUAUCGAUGACCGAGGUCCUGCAUUUGUUGCGAAUUCUUCAUAGCUCGUGUGGGCAGCAUCGUGUAGCUAACAUUCUGACCCAUAACUCAUGUGAGCAGACCUAUUUCAUAGCUCGUGUGAGCAUUAAUGUAAAGGAAAUGUUAUGGUUAUAUGGAAAGGCACACUACGUGUGAGCAUUCUUGAGUAUCUGAUGUAAUUUUAGAUGGUUCAAUGGAUAAGAAAAGGAAAUGAAAUGGUAAGUAUGCAAAUAGAAUGAAUCAUGAUUUUAUAAUGACAUUGAUGAGUUAAAUGAUGUGUUUAUAUAUGGUAAACUACAUAUCUUAUGGUUGAUUUCAUUUGUAUCAUGAACAAGUGCACUAACUUGUUAGUUUGAUGAUGUUGUAUAGGCUUUUACUAAGCUUAUGGCAUUGGUAAUGAUUUAUGCUUAAUCUAUGAAUUGUAUAAAUGAAAUGGUAAGUUAUGCUAAGUUUUUACGAGCUUACUAAGCACUCGUUGCUUACAUAGUUACUUUCCUUUGUUUUAUAGAUUAUUGAAAGCUCGAUCGGUUGGAAGUUCACCGAAGACCUAUCACACUAUCCAACAAUCAUUUCAGUAGUUUUUUUGUGUGUGUGUAUUUUGGCCAAGGUUAAUAAUGACAUGUAUAAGAUCUUUGUAAUGUAAGUUUUGGUAUGUUUAAGCUUUUGCAGUUAUGUUGGUUUGGUGCACUUUGAUAUCUUACCAAGUUAUGUCAUAUUGGUCACUUAAGUGCUUGUAAAUAAAGUUCUUUUGGUAUGUUUUGAUGGCUUGAAAAUGGUCAUAUGUGGUAGUUAAUUGAACUAGGUUAUUAUGCUUGGGAAUAUACAAUAUUGACUUGUUUUGGUAAGUGAUGUUUUGAUAUAUUUGUGGUGCCUUUGAGUGGCAUAUUGGUUAGAUGAAUUAGGGUGUUUGAAAAGCCAUGUUUUUGUGUAUUUGAAUGAAGUUUAAAUUCCUUGAAUGUAUGCCCAAAUGGUUUGAAUGGUUAGGUAUGAAUUGGACUUGAAAUGGCUUGAUUUUAGGUUAAAUUUUGGGUUCACAUGGCCUGGGACAUGGGCUGUCACAUGGCCGUGUGACACACACAGCCUGGCGACACGGUCGUGUGUCAUUUCAAAUUUUUUAGUGAUUCAAGUUAGUGAGUUACACGGCCUGACACACAGGCGUGUGUGGCAACUCAGAGAGUUAUACGACCAUGUGACCCUUCUCAGUGAGUUACACGGGUGAGGAAACGUGCUAGGACACCGUCGUGUGUCCUUUGUUAGAAUGUUACACGGCUUGGCCACACGACUGUGUGACCCCCGUUUUCAUAUUUUUGCAUCUUUUUCUUAAAACUUCUAUUUUGUUUUGAUUCAGUCUUGAAUUGUUUCUAAGCUAUUUUUAGGGCCUCGAAGGCUCGAUUUAGGGAUAAAAUGCAUAUGAAUGAUUGGUUUACAAUAAAUUUAAUUUAUUUUAUAUUAUAGUGUUAAAUGAUUUUCGGUUGAAAGGUAAUGCUCUGUAACCCUAAUCUAGCGACGGAGACGAGUUAGGGGUGUUUCAAUGCUUGUACUCUUCUUUCGUCUAGUUAAAGUAUGAACUAGAAUGACAUGAAUAUAUUACAAGGUUGGAGGGAGGCACUUAGCCUUAGACUGGCUCGGGUUGCACGGAAUGACAACCUCAGAGAUUUCUGACGAACAUAGAAAGAUCGAUUAAUGGAUGUGUUGUGGGACGGAUGAGAGCUCGGUCACUACUAAGAAAUCCUUAGAAUAUAGGCUGAGAGUGACACCAAAAAUUGCAAUACUAAAGUGUUGAGUGAUACCCUCAAGACAGAAUGAUAUAGCUCGUGGGUCAUCCCCCGAGAAUAAUACAGUCGGUAGGAGGAAUGUGGAGAAAAACUUGAAUGUAAGCUCAACAUAUGUCGACUCCACGAUCGUGAAGAAUCGAUCCCACGGGGUUGCGAUUAAAAGAGAAUGAAUCGGUGUGAAUAAGUCCACAAUAUGGAAGGCAUCCCAAUCUACACGUCUACCCACGCCCAAUGCUUUAUCCUUAAGAUUCUGGCACCUCUCCACAUGGGGUGGAUGGUCGAAGGUGAGGUAUUGGUAACGAGUGGUUGUUAUCGGAGAGGAUGAAGAUGAGGUCCAUGUGGCUUUUCUUUUAUUAGAAUGAGUGGGGACCCCACUUUUUCCUCGUGGGUUUUGCAUUUUGUAUCUGAAAUAAAAUAUAAUAACCAAAUAUCAGAUAACCAAAAAUCAAAACCACAAAAAAUAAAUCUAGCAAAUAGACAAAUCAACAUACGAAAUAAAACAUAUCGGUAAGCGAACUACCUCACGAUGAAAGUCAAAUCACAACGAGUCUAACCAAAAUCUACUUCGAAUACAAAACUAGAGCUAAUACUAAUACUAUUGAGGCAAAAAAAAAUUAAACUAACCAACUAAAACUAAUAAUAAUAGAAUAAUAAAAUAAUAACAAUAAUACUAAUACUAAACAAAAUAAACAUAUUAAUAAUAGUAGGAGUAAUAAUAAUUAAAAUAAUAAGAAAAUAAAUAAAAACAAAAAUAAUAAAAAUUAAAUAAAAUGAAAUGAAAGAAUAGGGUUGAGCCAAACGGUGGUAACGGUGGUGGUUGGUGGCAAUGGUGAAUGGAGGCGCGGUGGUAGAAGCGAGUGAGGACGUGGGAGAGGGCUGAUGAUGGUAAUGCACAGGUGAAGAGGGUUAGAACAGAGGGAAAAAACCAGACGAUAGAGGAAAUGGCAUGAUCGACGGUGGGGGAAGGAAAUGGAAAAAGAGAAGCACGGGAAGGAAAGGAAAUGACAUGAUCGACGGUAGAGGACGUGUGUCUAGCCAAUGUGGAAUGGCCCAGCUUGUGUGGCUCCGAAAGAUUCCUCCAAUUUUUUGAUUUUCCCUCCUUUUGCUUCCAAAUGCUCUCCUAAGUAUAAAAACAUGAAUAUAUAGGAUUAGGGGCAUAAAAUUCACCAUUUUAAAUCGAAUAAUGAUCCAAAAAUGCAUUAAGAAUAAGGCUAAAACAUGUUACUUUUGGCAUUUAUCAAUAGGAAAUGGGUUGGUUUGAAAAUAAAUGGAUUGCUUGUCGUAGAAUAUUAUUCUCGGCAGAACUCAAAAUAUAAAAUUUUAAAAAUUAUAUUUAAUACAAUAAAACAUUUAUUAUAUUUAUGGUAGUAUUUUUUAAUGUGGUAUGAAACUCUUAGUUGAUGAAACUUGUUUAGUGGUAGAUUGAAUAGCCUAUUAGAUCAUUAAUUCUGAAGCCAUUAAUCAUAUUUGUGUUUAUUGCAGGGGUUCAAGUAAAUGAGAAGCCUUCGUGAGAAGGAUCUCUCGUUGCAAACUAGAGAUGGGCGAAAUGUAGAGGCAAAAGUAGUGGGAGAAGUACAUUUGUAUUUUGAUAAUUUUAGGAAAANNNNNNNNNNNNNNNNNNNNNNNNNNNNNNNNNNNNNNNNNNNNNNNNNNNNNNNNNNNNNNNNNNNNNNNNNNNNNNNNNNNCUUUUAAUAAAGGGAUUGCAAUUCAUAAAAAUCAUGUUCUUAUCCGCAAUGGAUGGAUGCAAAAUAAUAUUUAUUUUAUUAAACAAAAGAGCUGCUCACUUCUUGAAACCGAGCUUGUGAAUAAUAAACUUAAAACUUCUCACUCUAAUACUUAUGAUAUUUAAGACUUAGUCGCGUUAAACAAGAAAAAAUGAAUAAACUUUUUAAAUAUGGGACUUUAAGCUCACUUAAAAAGGUACAUCUUCCACAAUGUAAAUCUUGCUUGAAAGGUAAAAUGACAAAGCAAUCUUCUCGUGAAAAAGGCACAAGGGUUGUUCAAUCAUUAAAACUUGUGCAUACUGACGUAUGUGAUCCCAUGAACGUUAGUGUGAGAUUUGGUUACAAUUAUUAUAUAAACUUUAUAGACAUUUAUUCCAGAUAUUGGUAUGUGUACCUAAUGCACCACAAGAGUGAAACUUUUAAAAAGUCUCAAGAGUUUAGUGUAAAAUUGGAGAAACAAUUACGUUUACCCAUUAAGAAACUCCAGUUUGACAACGUGGGGAAUACCUAUAGGAUGAGUUUAUAGGAUACCUCAUAGAGAAUGUGUAACAGCCUAAUUUUCAGUGGUGUCGGAAACAAUGAUUCGAGAUCACUAAAUCUGACCAAUGAGUUAAAAUUUAAUAAACUAAGAAUUAUGGGUCAAGUGUGAAGUUAGAAGAACUUUUGAAUUAGUGAAUUUUGUGAUUUAUUGAAUUUUGUGAUUUAAAAAGAAUUUAAUAGGUAAAUUGGGUCUAAAAUGAGGUAUCGAGACCUCGAGUUCAUAAACCAAGCCAUAAAUAUUUUUAUAAAUAUUUAUGGAGUGUCAUUGAGUUAGUAUAAAAGUUUCGUUAGAAAAUUUUAACGUUUGGAUAGUCAAUUAAUUAAAAAAGACUAAAUUGAAAAUAGUGCAAAAUUUGUUAAAUUGUGAUUAAAUAGCUUAAGUGACUAAUAAGAAGGGAUUUAAAAGGCAAUUAGGCCCAAAUUAUAUGGGCUGGACGGUUGGGCAAGAAAAAUCAGCAAUAAAGUAAGGAGAAACAAGGGCAAAAUUGGAAAUUUUACAAAUUGAAUAUAUAAAACAAAGAUAAAAGUGAAAAAUCUAGAGAUCUCUUCAUAAUUUAUCAGCAAAAACGCCAUAGGAGGUCUGAAACAAGCUGGCUUCUCAUAUUUUUACACCAUGUGAGUUCAAUUCUUUCUUUUUCCUUGAAAUUUUUAUGUUUUGUGACUUUUACAACUAGGUCCAACUAUUGAAUUCAUUAGUUUUUGAUUCCAUGGGUGAUUUUGUAAGUUACCAUGAAUAAGGUCUGGAAUUUUAUGAUGAAUUAUUAUAGAUUUGAAUUUUUAAUUUCAUUAUAUUAUGAUCUUAUUAAGUGAUUUUAGUAGAAAAUGAUUUUUAGGACCUAAUUGUGAAAAAGUUAGGAAUUGGGGUUUUGUACUGAAAUUAUGAAUAUCAAAGGCUGUUUAGUAGUCUAAAAUGGUUGUAUAAGGUGUUAAUUGAGAAAUUAGAUCAAUUGAAGGGUUAAUUGAGUAGGGACCAAAUUGUAAAAAUUGUUAAUUUUGGGGGUAAAAGUGUAAUUUCUAAAAUUUAAAGGCAUAAAUUGUGAAGUAAAUUAGUAUUGAAUUAGAUGCUAAUAAAUGGAAAAAUUUAUAUUAUAGAUCGUGAAUUCGAAGAUAAACGCAGAAAAGAGAAAGUAUCAAACUAGUUUCUGAACUUUUACAACUUCUACGAAUUGCCCAGGUAAGUUCAUAUGGCUGAAGUUUUAUGAUUAAUUGUUAAUGUGGGAAUGAUAUAAUGUAUCAAUUCGUAUAUUGUUGUUAAAUUAUGAUUAUGGUAAAAAUGAGAAUAAGAUGAGAUUGUUAGUUCAAAUUAAGGGAUACGCAGGAUUGAGUACAUAUGUUCGGUAACCAGUGAUGAAUUGACGGAUAAUUCCAUGGUGGAUCCAUGGCAAAGUGUGAAACGUAGGUAUGGUAUUUCAGUGAAGAAAACCAUACUGAGUUGUGAAAAGUAGGUAUGGUGUUUCAGUGAAGAAAACCAUACUGAGUUGUGAAAAGUAGGUAUGGUAUUUCUGUGAAGAAAACCAUAUUGAGUUAUAGCAAUGUGAAAUAUUCAAGCAAAUUGUGGCACCGGGCAAACGAUGUACUCAAAUCAGUAAGACGAUCCUUAAUUUGACAGGUAUUUGUAAGUGCAAUUGAAGCUAAAUGUCGGAAUUGAAGUUAACAUCUGAUAUUGAGCUCGAUUGGAUAGAUUCAUUGUUUGAGAUUGUGGUUGGCAAGAAAUGUUGAAUUUUUAUUUGUUUAUUAAUGUUGUUAGUGAAAUUUUGGUAAGAUUUUAUUAUGAGCCUAUGAACUUACUAAGCUUUCUGCAAGCUUACUUGUGUGUGUUUAUUAUUUCUUGUAGAUUGAUAUAUAUAUGUUCGGAGGAUCGGAUCUACAUCAACGAUCACACUAUCCAGAUUUACUCCGGUAGAUUUUGUUAAACAACUUUUUGAUUUAUAUGGCAUGUAUAGGGAAUUGAAGUAAAAAGUAACAGAAUGAAUGACUAAGUAGGCAAGGUAAAUCUGAAUGUGAUGGUUGUGUUAGACAUUGAAAUAUACAUGUUUUUAGCUUGAAAUGGUUGAUUGGUUGAACUUUAUUAGUAUUUAAAUGAAGCAGUUGAAAUACUGAAAUUGGUUGUGAAUUGAAAUUUGCAGGGAAGGUUAGAUAAUUAUAAAGGGGUUAUAUUGAAUUUUUUUAAAUAAAAUAAAAUAAAAUUGAUAUGGAACAGUUUUUGGACAACAGCAUUGAUGUAAAUUUGAAAAAUCACCAAAAAUAGUGUAAAUUGAAUUAGAAGCUGAGUGAGAGAUGAAAUUAAAGCUGAAUGAGUCUAUUUCACAUUAAAGAAAUAGAGUAAGCAAAAGAGUUAUAUAUUUUUAGAUAUUUGAAUUUUAGUGAGACAUGGUAAGAAUGGUUUUUGAAGUCCCCUAUUCUAACUUUAGAAAUUCAUUAAAAAUUGUACAGAAGGAAUUAUGAGUUAUAAUUCAUAUGUAUAGAUUUCUUAAUGAGUCUAUUUUAAGUAGAAAUAAGUGGAAGCACCAUAUGAAGUCUGUACAAUGAGAUAAUUGAAUUUUAGUAAUGAGAGGUCAGGAUAGUCAAUCAGUGAAAUAGGGGAGACUGUAACUAAUAAACUGUACUAAUUGGCUAAACAAAAAAUUCUAAAAUAUUUAUAGUAAAAAGUCUAGUUUCAGGGAAAAUUUACAGAUCUAAAUUUUGAGUUUUGUAGCUUGAGUUAUGAUUCAUUUAGUGACUGCUGCGCAGGUGGACAGCCUUAUUAUUAACAGUGAAAUAACUUUUAAAAGUAAAUUUUUAUGCCUGGAACUUUUAAGUUAAGUCAAGUAACGCCUCAUGCUCGACUCCGGCAAUGGUCUCGGGUAAGGGGUGUUACAGAAUGAGAUACAAUUCCAAUUAACUGUGCGAGGUACUCCACAACAAAAUGGCAUGACAAAAAGAUGGAACAAAACCUUGCUUGAUAUGGUUUAUUCAAUGUUAAGUUAUUCACAACUAUCAAUAUCAUUCUAGGGGUAAGAAUUACUAAUGACUAGCUACAUUAUAAAUUACAUACAAACUAAGGCAGCACCUUAGGAUCCAUACAAAAUGUGGCACGACAUGAAGCCAAGCCGAAAUUAUUUUAGGAAUUGGGGAUGCCCAACUUACGUGUUGGCUAAAGAUGCAAAAAAGUUGGAAGCACAGAUAGAAUUAUGCAUGUUUGUUGGUUGUCCAAAACGAACUAAGGGUGGGUGAUUUUAUAACCCAAAAGACCAAACGGUUACGGUUUUGAAUUAUGCUACUUUCCUUGGGGAAAUCUACAUUAAAAAUUUUAAACCUCAAAGUAGAUUAUAACUUCAGAGAAUUUCAGGAAAAUGAGCUUAUUUUUGAUAACUUGUAAGUCAUUUUCCGUGAAACAAACGCAUCCGAAGGAAAAUAAAUAAGAGGGUAAUAAUUUUAUAAACAGUGAUCCAAAAAAUUUUACUCAUACCAUCAUUUUGAUUUAUUUUAUUAGUGAUUUUCAUUUUCUAUUUUACUUUUUUGAGCGACUCUUUAAAUAAUUGAAACCAUUAAAAAUAAACCAUAACAACUAAAAUUUAAAUUUUAAUAUUAUAAAAAAACCAUAUAUUUUAAUUUAAAUUUUAAAAUUAAAUUGUUCAAAGAUUAAGCUAUUUUCUCCGCUUAAUAGGCAGGUUUGAAAAUUUUUUACCACAAAUUAUCUCUCUCAAAAAUAGUAAACCUAACAACAUCCUUUUACCAAAUUUACACAUUUACACGUUUUGUCCAACACUCUCGACAAUUACCAAUCCAAUUGUUAUAAAUUGUGCCAAAGUUCAUUGGAAAAAAUACACCAUCACAAAUUACCAGUAUUAGCCACCCAGCUAGCUAAAUUUUUAUUUAAAAAAACAUGAAGAGGUUUUCCGUUAUUGUUUUGUGCGUGGUGACUCUAGUGGUGGUGUUGUUUUUAGGUGCAGAGGCAGCUCCAACGCCGAAAUGUGAUAACCCCUUGGAGUAUAGCUCAUGCUUGAAUGCGUACAAGAAGCCACCUCCAUCAGCCGGUUGUUGCCAGAAGAUGAAGGAACAAGCACCAUGCUAUUGCGAGUACAUGAAGAUAGAAGAUGUCAAACGUGUUUUUGACAGAGUUGAGAUUGCGAAAAUGGCUAAAUUGUGUGGAGUUUCAUAUUCUUCCACCUGCUAGAAUCCCGUUUGGUUUCAUUUGACUAUCUCUGGCUGGGAUAACCUAGCAUCUCAAUAAAUGAAAUUUUAUUUGAAAACUAUUUUUUUACUCAUAAUUUCGACUAUAAUGUACUUGUGUUCUUUUUUUUUUUUUAGAAUGAUACUGGUGGUUUGCUAUUAUUUACCUUUAUUGUCUUGAUUCAUGUUACAUAUGUGCAAAAAGAACUACAGAAUGAUCUAGAUUUUAUUUGAACCGUACUGGAUUGGUUGGAUUGGAAACUGAUCUGGAUAGUGGUAUAAUUAGAGGGGUUAGAUUGGUUGACCCACAGACCAAUAGGGAGUAUUUGAAUCGAUUUUCUCUAUUUCUUAAAAAAUAUUUUUAUAUUUAUUUUAAUCUUUAAGUAAUUUAUUUAAUCAAACUAGAUGAACAGGUCGAAAUAAAAAUAGUUAUUUAGCUGAUUUAGCUAUCGGUCCAGUUCUGAAAACAUUGUUAUAGUUAAAAAAAAACAAGAGAAAUGAGUUGUGUAGAUCAAAUUAUUAUAUUAUAAAAAUAUAUGUUAUUUGAAUAUUUAUUUGGGUAAAAUACACUAGUAGUGACUCAACUUUUGGUAAAUUUCUUUUUUUAGCUCCAGAUAGCUAAUGGUGACAACUAGACUUAUUAAUUGGCCGAGUUACCUGCCUAGGCCCGAUGGUCUACUCGAAAAAUGGAAGGAUUUGGACAAAUAUAUGAUGCUAAAAAAUGGGCUUGGGUAAAAUUUAAUGCCUAUUUUCUAUAUGGGUCAGGAGCUGUAAUAAAUUUUUUUGACCCGAGCCCAAUCCGACCUGAAUAUAUUAUGUUAUAACAAAUAAUUAUAUUAAUUAUAUAUGUUAACUAAUAAUUAUAUAUUUUUUAUAUUUAUAUUAAAUUACUAAUGCAAUAACAACAAAACCCAUUACCCAAAACCUAAAAAAAAAAAACUUACCCAAGUAAAUCAUUUGCUUCAACUAUACCUAAAGCCCAUCAAUUAUUUAACCAUAGACAUAUUUUAGUUAAUGGCAUACAAUAGAUUUACCAAGUUAUCGUUGCAAGCCCGGCAAUAUUAUUUUAGUGAGGGAUGAACAAAAUUCUAGAACUCUGAUUCAAAAUUAUCUUGAUUCAUCCACCAAUGAGGAAUUACCAAAACAUUUGACCCUUCACACAUUACUAUAUAAGUGAUUAGUCAAUCAAAUAAUAGAUAGGAAAUGGGUUGGUUUGAAAAUAAAUGGAUUGUUUGUCGUAGAAUAUUAUUCUCGUCAGAACUCAAAAUAUAUAAUUUUAAAAAUUAUAUUUAAUACAAUAAAACAUACAUUGUAUUUAUGCUAGUAUUUUUUAAUGAAUUUUUAAUGUGGUAUUAAACUCUUAGUUGAUGAAACUUGUUAGGUUCAAUAGACUAUUAAAUCAUUAAUUCUGAAGCCAUUAAUCAUAUUUGUGUUUAUUGUAGGGUUCAAGUAAAUGAGAAGCCUUCGUGGUAAGGAUCUCUCAUUGCGAAUUGGAGAUGGGACAAAUGUAGCAACAAAAGUAGUGGGAGAAGUACAUUUGUAUUUUGAUAAUUUUAGGAAAAUUAUUUUAAAUGGCAUUUUUUAUGUACCUAGUUUUAGGAGAAAUUUAAUUUCUGUUGCAUGUUUAUUUAAAGAAAGUUUUUCUGUGGCUUUUAAUAAAGGGAUUGCAAUUCAUAAAAUCAUGUUCUUAUCCGUAAUGGAUGGGUGCAAAAUAAUAUUUAUUUUCUUACACAAAAGAGCUACUCACUGCUUGAAACCAAACUUGUGAAUAAAAAACUUGAAACUUCACACUCUGAUUCUUAUGAUAUUUAAUACUUAACCGUGUUAAACAAGAAAGAUUGAAUAAAAUUUUUAAAGAUGAGAUUUUAGGUUUACUUAAAGUGAUACAUCUUCCACAAUGUGAAUCUUGCUUGAAACGUAAAAUAACCAAGCAAUCUUCUAAUGCAAAAGGUACAAGGAUUGUUCAAUCAUUCAAACUUUUGCAUACCGACGUAUGUGGUCCUAUGAACGUUAGUGUAAGAUUUGGCUACAAUUAUUAUGUAAACUUUUUAGAUAUUUAUUCCAGAUACUAGCUAGUAUGUGUACCUAAUGCAUCACAAGAGUGAAACUUUUAAAAAAAUUUCAAGAGUUUAGUGUGAAAGUGGAGAAACAAUUAGGUUUACCCAUUAAGGCACUUCGGUUUGACCGACGUGGGGAAUACUUAUCGGACGAGUUCAUAAGAUACCUCAUAGAGAAUGAGAUACUAUCCCAAUUAACUGUGUAGGGUACUCCACAACAGAAUGUCAUGACAGUGAGAUGGAACAAAACCUUGCUUGAUAUGAUUUAUUCAAUGUUAAGUUAUUCAAAACUUCCAAUAUCAUUCUCGGAGUAAACAUUACUACCAACUUGAGAUAUUUUAAAUUACAUAAAAACCAAGGAAGCACCUCAGAAUCCAUACGAAAUGUGGCAUGACAUGAAGCCAAGCCUAAAUCAUUUUAGGAAUCGGGGAUGCCCAACUUACGUGUUGGCUAAAGAUGCAAAAAAGUUGGAAGCACGAAUAGAAUUUUGCAUGCUUGUUGGUUGUCCAAAACGGAGUAAGGGUGGAUAAAUUUAUAAUCCAAAAGACAAAAAGGUUAAGGUUUCGACUUAUGCUACUUUCCUUGAGGAAAUCUACAUUAAAAAUUUUAAACCUCGAAGUAGAUUGUUACUUCAAAAAAUUUCAGGAAAAUGAGCUUAUUUUUUGAUGACUUGUAAGUCAUUUUUCGUGAAAUAAACGCAGCUAAAGGAAAAUGAAUAAGAGGAUAAUAAUUUUAUAAACAACGAUCUAAAAUAUUUUACUCAUACCAUCAUUUUGAUUGAUUUUAUUAGUGAUUUUUAUUUUCUAUUCUACUUUUUUUAGCGACUCUUUAAAUAAUUGAGACCAAUAAAAAAACCAUAACAACUAAAAUUAAAAAUUUAAUAUUCUAAAAAAAACCAUAUAUUUUAAUUUAAAUUUUAAAUUUAAAUUGUUAAAAGAUUAAGCUAUUUUCUCGGCUUUGUAAGCAUGUUUCAAUUUUUUUACCACAAAUUAUCUCCCUCACAAAAAUAGUAAACCUAACAAUAUCCUUUUACAAAAUUUACACAUUUACACGUAUUGUCCAAAACUCUCGACAACUAAAAAUCCAAUUGCUAUAAAUUGUGCAAAAGUUCAUUGGAAAAAACACAUCAUCACAAAUUACCAUUAUUAGUCAGCCAACUAGCUUUUUUUUUUUUGAAAAAACAUGAAAAGGUUUUCCCUUAUUGUUUUGUGCAUGGUGACUCUAGUGGUGGUGGUGUUUUCGAGUGCAGAUAAUAUGAUAGUAUAAAAAUUUCGUUAAGAAAUUUUAUCGUUUGUAUGCUUAAUUUGUGAAAAAGGACUAAAUCGCGUAAAGUGUAAAAGUUGUGUUCUAUUAGCUAAAAGUGUUAAAUAGCUAUAUAACUUUAAAGUGGAGGUCCUUAUAUGAUAUCUAGACUACUAAUUGAGUUAUUGGAUGUGCAUGGCAUGGUAUUUUUGAAAAUUUUAAAGUUUGGUAAGAGUGAAUAGGUAAUUAGGAAAUUAAAGGUUAAAAAUUUAAUAUAACAAAAUAGUAAUCAUCUUUCUUCUUCAACCUACCAAAAAUUUCAUCAAACAUUGGGGUUUUGAAGCUUUGAAAUUCAGCUAAGCUCUGUGAUAGCCCGAAAUAGGGCCUAAUCGGAAUAGUGGUUUCGUAACCACAAAUCCGAAGUGAAAUAGUUUUAUUUUAUAAAUUUUUAUUAGUUACUGAUUGAUUGAAAUAUUGUGUAAAAAUAUGGAUAGAAAAUUUUAAUGAUUUAGUGCCUAAUUGAAUUUUUAGGACUAAAUCGAGAAAAAUGCAAAGUGUGUCUAAUUAGUGAUUAAAUGACUUAAUUGAAUUAUUGUAUAAAAUUGGAAGUGUUUAUGUGGAAAUUAGACCAUUAAUUAGUGUUAUGGACACAAAAGGAUAUUUCUAGAAAAAUAUCUAAGUAAUGGGUCAAGGGUAUUUUUGUCCAAAUUGAAUAAAAGACAAAAUAAAGUGAAAAUAAGUGUCCAUCUUCUUCAAAAUCAGACGUUUGCUGCCAAAAAAAUUCAUGUCACCAUAGCUAGGGUUCUUGAUCUUCCUAAGCUCAAUUGUAAGUGAUUUCUUGCCCCGUUUUUAAUUAUUUUCGUAUUUUUAUGCUUAUUGAAGCUUGAAUUUCAUGUUUCUACCAUUUAAUUUAAAUGAAAUUGAAGUUUAAAAAUUAACCCAUUCAUGAUAUAAUUGUAAAUUGAUUAGUGAUGUUAGAUAAUGAAUGUUUGAAGUGUUAAUUACAAGUUUUACUAGAUGAAUUUCAAUGAAAAAGUUGAAAAAGGGCUAAAUUGUGAAAGAUGGUAAAGUGUGCAUAAAGUUGUGAUUUUGUGAAAUUGAGGGCUGUUAUGAGCAUGAAAUAUGAUUUAGUGAAGUUUGAAAUUUAAGAAUUUAGUGAAUUUUAUUUUUACGAGCUUAGGGACAAAAGUGGAAUUUUUGAAAAGUUUUGGGGAAAAAUGUAAAUUUUCCAAAAUGUUGUGUAUGAAUUGUAUUUGAAUGAAAUGUUGAUAAAAUGUAUUAAAUUGUGUUAAUAUAGAUCAAGAAAGAAGAAAUAGUGCAAGUGAUCGGGGAAAAGAGAAAGUUAUCGACUAAAUUACAAAAAUAGUCGUUUUGCAUCCGAGGUAAGUUAUGUGUAAAUAAUAGUAAUAUAUUUUAUAAAUUGUGAAUUUUAUUUGAUAUGUGAAUCAAUAUUGAAUGUGGAAGGAAAAUUGUUCAUGAAUUAUUCAAGUGAUAAAGUGUUUAAAAUAAAGUGUUAAGUGUAAAUUCCCGGUUGAACUUAGGAAUAGAAGUGGAUACAAGUGACAUGUCACUAGAGAUCAGUGUUACAGUGUUACAGUGAGUCCCGGGUGCUGGGUGAUCUAGCAUGUGUUGCAGACACCUGACAGCUUGUGUGAGCAGGCCCGUGGACAUUUCCAGUGUUAUUGAUCAGUGGUAGCUUCGGCUACGUUUCAGUGGUAGCUUCAGCUACAUAACAGUGGUAGUUUCGGCUACAUUUCAGUGGUAGCUUCGGCUACAUAACAGUGGUAGCUUCGGCUACAUAUCAGUGUUGCACUUAUGUGCUAAAUCUCUACGUAUCUGUGUAUAUUCCGAGUGUUCAACGGGAUUAAUGAUGGGUUAAAGUGAAUAUGAAAUGAAGUGUGUAUGCAGGAACAAUUGAAAGAAUUGAGCAUAUGUGAUAAAUGUUAAGUGUGAAAAUGUAUAUGCAAGUGAAUUGGUAAGAUUGUGCAUGUGUAAGUGAUUGAAAUUGCUAAGAAAUGUUUUGAUUAGUUAUAUGUUAAAAGUGUUAAUUAUUAAAUGAGUAAUUAUUAUUUACAUGUAACUUACUAAGCUAUUUAUAGCUUACACCUUUCUUUCUUUUCCUUUGUUUUAUAGUGAUUUGAACUUGAUCGAAUUGGGGAUCGUCGGAGCUCGUAUCACACUAUCAUAAUCAUCUCGGUAUUAUGUGAUUUUCAAAAUGUUUAAACUAUGGCAUGUAUAGGGUCUUAAUCAUUUUGAGCAUGUUCAAAUGAUAUGGCUAAUAUUAGCUAUUGAAGUAGCUAUUAAAGAAUAUGUUUUGGUGUUAUGUAUGUUAAAAUGGUAACUAAUUCAAAGAAGCAGUUUCUUUGACAGCAGCAGUGGCGUGAAUGUGAAAAAUCACCAUAAAUAGUAGAAAUGGAAUUAGAGAGUGAAUUAUAUAUGGAAUUAAAUCUUAUCAAGUCUAUUUUUAUAUGAAAUAAACGGUGUAGGCAAAGGAAUUCUGUAUUUUGAGAUAUUUGAAUUUUAGUGAGAUAGGGUCAGAAUGGUUUUUGAAGUCCCCUAUUCUGACUUUGAAAAAUAAUUAUAAAUUGUACAGAAAGAAUUAUGGGUCAUAAUUUAUAUGUGUAGAUUUCUUAGUGAGUCUAUUUUCAAAAGAAACAAACGAUAACCUUAUAUGAAUUCUGUACAAAGAGAUAAUUGAUUUUUAGUGCCAAGAGGUCAGAUCUGUUGAGCUGUGAAACAGGGGAUACUUUAAUGAAUAAACUGUACUAAUUGGCUAAGUCAAAAAUUCUGAAAAUUUUAUGAUAAGUAGGAACAUGAGUCUAGUUUCAGAUAAAAUUUACGGAUUUAAAUUUUUAGUUUUUUAACUUAAGUUAUAAUUAAAUUAGUGACAGUCGCGCAGGUGGACAGUUUUGUUGUAAACAGUGAAUUUAAUUUUAAAAGCAAAUUUUUAUACUCCGAAUUGGUAAGUUAAAUUGGAUAACAUCUCGUACUCGAUUUUGGCGACGGUCUCGGGUAACGGGUGUUACAAGCUCUCCCUUGCAUGGUGAGUGAUUUUUGUUUCGUUUUUAUUGGUUUUUAUGUUUCCGGGAUCGUUGUAGCUUAACCUAGCUAGCCCGGGGACUAAUUUGCAAAAUAGUUGAAGGUUUAGGGUUUUACCAUUGAUUAAUAUGUUAGGAUUUUGAAAUUUAAUGAAAUAAAAUUAAUCAUUGUUGUGAGAUAAACACUUUUUGUUCAGUGAGUUUUGAUAAAAUUGUCAAAUAGAGACUAAAUUAAGAAAUGGGAAAAUUGUGUGUUAAAUGUGUGAAAUUGUUAAUUUUCUGAGCUGCUGUAUGCACAUAUGAAAUUCGACUAGGCUUAUAUAGGGAUAAAAUUGCAUAAAUUUCAUUUUACGAAGGACUAAUUUGUAAAGAAGUUAAAUAUUUAGGGGCAAAAUGGUAAUUUUGCCAUAACUUGAAAUUUGGAUUGAAUUGAAUAGAAUAAUGAUUAAAUUUGUUAAAUUUGAUUAUAUAGAUCAAGAAAAGCGACGUACGGAAUUAGAUUGAGGGAAAUAUAAAGUUAUCGUUUAAACAAUCAUUUUUCAUCGUACGAGUUCAAGGUAAGUUCGUGUAAUUGCAUUGUGUAUUUAUAUACUUUAAUUGAAAUAUAUGUUUUUGGAUUGUGUAAUCAUGAUGUAUAAUUAUCGAACUUAUAACCGAGGUAGUACGAAGAAUAUAGAGUCCCGUUUGAACCUUAGGAAUUCGUAGGAUACAAAUGACAUGUCAUUAGGGUUACCGAUUUGGUUGUGGUCAUGCAUGUGUUGCGGACACACCACAACUCGUAUGAGCUUAUCGAUUUCAACUCGUGAGAGCUUACCGAUUCAUAGCUCGGAGGAGCUUACCGUUUAUCACUUGUAUGAGCAUACAUUUACAAGAAUUGACGGAUUUACAGUUUAGUACAUCUCGCGCGUGCUACCCUCAUAUCUAACGAUAUUCUAAGUGGCUCAACGGGUAUAGUGAUAUUACGAGAUUACACAAGUUUAAUACGAACUAGUACAGGUAUUUACAUGAAAAUGGGUUAUAUAUGAUAUACGGAUACACGGUAUAGAUGGUACAUGUACAUUAAAUUUAAUAAUUGUUGAAUUCAUACAUGAUUCUCGGUUUUAUAUGAAUACAUGGCUAACUUGGUUAAUGGUUAUGUGAUAGGCUUUGGCCAAAUUGAAUUAUGUUAUGCUUUGAGUUAUUUACCUAAAUUUGUGGUUAAAUGGUAAGUUUAAUUCUGUAUUAUACGAACUUACUAAGCUUAAUUGCUUACUCUAUUUAUUUUCUCAUGUUUUAUAGAGAUUCGAAAGCUCGUUCGGAUUGGAAGUUGUCAGAGACCGCAUUACACUAUCAAACUUUAUUUUGGUACUUUUGACUUUAUAUUUUGGGUUAAAUGGCAUGUAUAGGUCAUUUUGGCUAAUGGUAGCCUUUAUGUUUUAUUGUGUAUUUAGCCAUUUGAUUUGUCUUGAAUUUGGUAUAUUUUGUUAUGUAAAUAUGUAAAUGGCCUUAUUGUAUAUGAUAUACGGUUGUCAUGUAAUGCUUUGUUUGUGAAUUGGUAUUAGGGUACCAAAUGGUUGAAGUUAAAAUGUGGUAUCAUGUUCAAUUUAGGCACUAGAUCUCAUAGGUGAGGUUGACCAUUUAGGUAUACUUUGGAAGUAUAUUUGGUAUGUUUUAAAGUGAUCAUUUGAAUGUGUUUAUGGAUAUCACGUUGUAUGUGUGAAAUUACAUAUUAUAAACUUGAUAUUGGUUGGUUUUAAGUGUCUACUUAUGCCUUGGUUCUAUACAAAUUGAUGUGUAUAGGUUGGUAUCAAUGUGGGUGAGGAAUAUGGCUUGGAAAAUGGCUUAUUUUUGUCCACACGGGCAGAGACACGGGCGUGUGUCUCAGCUGUUUGUGACACACGGUCAGGAGACACGACCGUGUGUCCCGUGAUACUUCUAUACAAAUCAAGUCAGUAGCUUCACACAGCCUAGCACACGGGCGUGUGGCUUGGCCGUGUGGCACAAGUCAGUAUACUCUCCAGUUUUCACACGGCUUGGCACACGGGCGUGUGAGGUCAUUUCGAAUGGUACACGGCUUGGCACACAGGUGUGUGGUUGACUGUGUGACCCAAGUCAGUGAGUUACACGGGGUUGGACACAGGCAGAGACACGACCGUGUGAUCCCAUUUCGAAUGCCCACACGGGCGUGUCUCUUGGCCGUGUGAGACACACAGCUUAGCCACACGGGCAUGUGUCCCCUGCACAUUGAACAUUUCAAUGUUUUCCUAAAAAUUCCUUGAGUACUCGGUUUAGUCCUGAACCACUUUUAAUGUUUAUUUAAGGCCUUGAGGGCUCUUAUUAGGGACUAUAUGAAAGAAUUUGAAUGGCUUUUGAUUGGAAUGAAAAAAAUGAAUAUAAAAAGUAUAAUUGUUUGAGUUAUAAGUUCGGUAAUGCUCCGUAACCCUGUUUUGACGUCGAAUACGGGUUAGGGGUGUUACAUGAUAACCCCUUGGAGUAUAGCUCAUUUUUGAAUGCGUAUAAGAAGCCACCUUGAUCAGUCGAUUGUUGCCAAAAAAUGAAGGAACAAGCACCAUGCUAUUGUGAGUACAUGAAGAUAGAAGAUGCCAAACGUGUUUUUGAUAGAUUUGAGAUUGCAGAAUGGCUAAAUUGUGUGGAGUUUCAUAUUCUUUCACCUGCUAGAAUCCCAUUUGGUUUCAUUAGACUAUUUCUGGCCAGGAUAACUUGGCAUCUCAAUAAAUGAUAAUUUUAUUUGAAAGCUAUUUUUUUACUCAUAAUUUCGACUAUAAUGUACUUGUGUUCUUUUUUUUUUCGGGAAUGAUACUGGUGGUUUGCUAUCAUUUACCUUUAUUAUCUUGAUUCAUGUUACAUAUGUGCUAAAAGAACUACACAAUGAUCUAGAUUUAGUUUGAAUCGUACUAGAUUGGUUUGAUUGGAAACUGAUCUAGAUACCAAUAUAAUUAGAGGGGUUAGAUUGAUUGACCCACGAACCAAUAAAGGCUAGUUGAAACGAUUUUCUCUAUUUCUUUAAAAAUAUUUUUAUAUUUAUUUAAAUUAUUAAAUAAUUUAUUUAAUUAAACUAGACGAGUAGGUCGAAAUGAAAAAUAGUUAUUUGAUUGAUUUGACCAUCGAUCCAGUUCUGAAAACAUUGUUAUAGUUUAAAAAAAAUGGGUAGGGUAAAUCAAAUUAUUAUAUUAUAAAAAAUAUAUGUUAUUCGAAUAUUUAUUUGGGUAAAGUACACUAGUAGUCACUCAACUUUUAGUAAAUUUCUUUUUUUCUCAUCGAAUUAUGAAAAAUUACAAAAUGAUCACCCAACUAUUCAAUUUUCUAUUUUUUGAUCUCUAGUUAGCUAAUGGUGGCAGCUAGACUUGUUAAUUGGCCGGAUUACUUGCCCAAGUCCGACGGCCCGCUUGAAAAAUGAAAGGGUUUGGACAAAUACACGAUGCCGAAAAAUGGGCUUGGGUAAAAGUUAAGGCCUAUUUUCUAUAUGAGUCGUGAUCUGUGCAAAUAUUUUUCACCCGAGCACAAUCUGACCCGAAUAUAUUAUGUUUUAAAAAUAAUUAUAUUAAUUAUAUAUGUUAAAUAAUAAUUAUAUAUUUAUAUAUAUUGAAUUACUAACCCAAUAAUAACUAAACCCAUUACCCAAAACCUAAAAAAAACUUAGCCAACUAAAUAAUUGGCUUCAGCUAUUCCUAAAGCUCGUCAAUUAGUUAACCAUAGACAUAUUUUAGUUAAUGGCUUACAGUAGAUAUGCCAAGUUAUCAUUGUAAGCCUCGAGGUAUUAUUUCAACGAGGGAUGAACAAAAUUCUAGAACUCUGAUUCAAAAUUAUCUUGAUUCAUCCACCAAUGAGGAAUUACCAAAACAUUUGACCCUUCACACAUUACUAUAUAAAGGAUUAGUCAAUUAAAUAAUAGAUGGAUAAUGGGUUGGUUUGAAAAUAAAUGGAUUGCUUGUCAUAGAAUAUUAUUCUCGUCAGAACUAAAAAUAUAAAAUAUAAAUUUUUUUAUUUAAUACAAUAAAACAUUUAUCAUAUUUAUGGUAGCGUUUUUUAAAGAAUUUUUAAUGUGGUAUGAAACACUCAGUUGAUGAAACUUAUUUAGUAUUAGGUCAUUAAUUCUGAAGUCAUUAAUAAUAUUUGUGUUUAUUGCUGGGGUUCAAGUAAACGAGAAGCCUUCGUGAUAAGGAUCUCCCGUUGCGAAUUGGGGAUGGGAGAAAUGUAGCGGCAAAAUUAGUGGGAGAAGCACAUUUGUAUUUUGAUAAUUUUAGGAAAUUUAUUUUAAAUGAUAUUUUUUAUGUACAUAGUUUUAGGAGAAAUUUAAUUUUUGUUGCAUGUUUAUUUAAAGAAAGUUUUUCUAUGACUUCUAAUAAAAGGAUUGCAAUUCAUAAAAAUCAUGUUCUUAUCCGUAAUGGAUGAGUGCAAAAUAAUAUUUAUUUUAUUACACAAAAGAGCUACUCACUGCUUGAAACCAAACUUGUGAAUAAGAAACUUAAAACAUCUCACUCUAAUACUUAAGAUAUUUAAGACUUAGUCGCGUUAAACAAUAAAGAAUGAAUAAACUUUUUAAAGAUGGAACUUUAAGCUCACUUAAAGAGAUACAUCUUCCACCAUGUGAAUCUUGCUGCAAAGGUAAAAUGACCAAGCAAUCUUCUAAUGCAAAAGGUACAAGGGUUGUUCAAUCAUUAAAACUUGUACAUACCGACGUAUGUGGUCCCAUGAACGUUAGUGUGAGAUUUGGUUACAAUUAUUAUGUAAACUUUUUAGAUAUUUAUUCCAGAUACUGGUAUAUGUACCUAAUGCACCACAAGAGUGAAACUUUUAAAAAAUUUUAAGAGUUUAGUGUGAAAGUGUAGAAACAAUUAGGUUUACCCAUUAAGACACUUCUGUUUGACUGACGUGGGGAAUACUUAUCAGAUGAGUUCAUAGGAUACCUCAUAGAGAAUGAGAUAUUAUCCCAAUUAACUGUGUAAGGUACUCCACAAUAGAAUAGCGUGGCACAAAGAUGGAACAAAACCUUGCUUGAUAUGAUUUAUUCAACGUUAAGUUAUUCAAAACUAUUGAUAUCAUUCUGGGGGUAAGCAUUACUAAUGACUUCCUAUAUUCUAAAUUACAUAAAAACUAAGGCAACACCUCAAGAUCCAUUCGAAAUGUGGCACAGCAUGAAGCCAGGCUGAAAUCAUUUUAGGAAUUGGGGAUGCCCAACCUACAUGUCGGCUAAAGAUGCAAAAAAGUUGGAAGUACAGAUAGAAUUGUGCAUGUUUGUUGGCUAUCCAAAACAGAGCAACGGUGAAUAAUUUUAUAACCCAAAAUACCUAACGGUUAAGGUUUCGACUUAUGCUAAUUUUCUUGAGAAAAUCUACAUCAACAAUUUUAAACUUCGAAGUAGAUUGUUACUUCAAAAAAUUUCAGGAAAAUGAACUUAUUUUUCGAUGACUUGUAAGUCAUUUUCCGUAAAACAAACGCAUCUGAAGGAAAAUGAAGAAGAGGAUAAUAAAUUAUAAACAGUGAUCUAAAAAAUUUUACUCAUACCAUCAUUUUAAUUGAUUUUAUUAGUAAUUUUCAUUUUCUAUUUUACUUUUUCUAGUGACUCUUUAAAUAAUUAAAACCAUUAAAAAUAAACCAUAACAACUAAAAUUUAAAUUUUAAUAUUAUAGAAAAACCAUAUAUUUUAAUUUCAAUUUUAAAUUUAAAUUGUUUAAAGAUUAAGCUAUUUUCUUGGCUUUGUAGUCCUGUUUCAAUUUUUUUACCACAAAUUAUCUCUCUUUCAAAAAUGGUAAACCUAACAACAUCCUUUUACCAAAUUUACACAUUUACACGUAUUGUCCAAAACUCUCGGCAACUAAUAAUCCAACUGCUAUAAAUUGUGCCAAAUUUCAUUGGAAAAAACACAUCAACACAAAUUACCAUUAUUAGUCGCCUAGCUAGCAAACUUUUUAUUUAAAAAAACAUGAAGAGGUUUUCCCUUAUUGUUUUGUGCGUGGUGACUUUAGUGGUGGUGUUAUUUUCGGGUGCAGAGACAACGCCAGCGCCAAAAUGUGAUAACCCCUUGGAGUAUAGCUCAUGCUUGAACGCGUAUAAGAAGCCACCUCCAUCAGCUGGUUGUUGCCAGAAAAUGAAGGAACAAGCACCAUGCUAUUGUGAGUACAUGAAGAUAGAAGAUGUCAAACGUGUUUUUGACAGAGUUGAGAUUGCGAAAAUGGCUAAAUUGUGUGGAGUUUCAUAUUCUUCCACCUGCUAGAAUCCCAUUUGGUUUCAUUUGACUAUCUCUGGCUGGGAUAACCUGGCAUCUCAAUAAAUAAAAUUUUAUUUGAAAACUAUUUUUUUACUCAUAAUUUCGACUAUAAUGUACUUGUGUCCUUUUUUUUUGGAAUGAUACUGGUCAUUUGCUAUUAUUUACCUUUAUUGUCUUGAUUCAUGUUACAUAUGUGCUAAAAGAACUACACAAUGAUCUA
RNAcentral lists this long non-coding RNA (43507 nucleotides) under Gossypium raimondii (Peruvian cotton). RNAcentral's name for it is "long non-coding RNA (GRAI_LNC004973)". Lineage: Eukaryota; Viridiplantae; Streptophyta; Magnoliopsida; Malvales; Malvaceae. The record is from RNAcentral.